AUUGAACGCUGGCGGCAUGCUUUACACAUGCAAGUCGAACGGUAACAGCACUUCGGUGGCUGACGAGUGGCGAACGGGUGAGUAAUACAUCGGAACGUGCCUAGUAGUGGGGGAUAACUACUCGAAAGAGUAGCUAAUACCGCAUGAGAUCUAAGGAUGAAAGCAGGGGACCUUCGGGCCUUGCGCUACUAGAGCGGCUGAUGGCAGAUUAGGUAGUUGGUGGGAUAAAAGCUUACCAAGCCGACGAUCUGUAGCUGGUCUGAGAGGACGACCAGCCACACUGGGACUGAGAAACGGCCCAGACUCCUACGGGAGGCAGCAGUGGGGAAUUUUGGACAAUGGGCGCAAGCCUGAUCCAGCAAUGCCGCGUGCAGGAUGAAGGCCUUCGGGUUGUAAACUGCUUUUGUACGGAACGAAAAGCCCUCUUCUAAUACAGGAGGGUCAUGACGGUACCGUAAGAAUAAGCACCGGCUAACUACGUG
RNAcentral lists this ribosomal RNA (482 nucleotides) under uncultured bacterium. RNAcentral's name for it is "partial 16S ribosomal RNA". It matches the Rfam family "Bacterial small subunit ribosomal RNA", at positions 30 to 507 of the family's 1533-position model. The record is from RNAcentral.